CAGAGCCGAGUCCCUCUCCCCGCCCCAGAAGGACGCCAUCUUGCCAGCAAUUUUCCCACGCCCUCAUUUCCGGUUCCCACGGUUGGGAACCAGAAGAAAUGAGUGAGGGUGAACCGGAAGUUACUCUUUCUGCUGCACCUGUCACCUACCGCAGAAUACGUGGUGGUGACACACCAAAACCUAAUUGGCAUGCUUUUUCCCAAAGCAUCAUUCGGGAUUUAUGCAAGGCGCACAAGGAUUAUGGCAGAGAGAGUCCCUACUUCCGUGGCCUCCUCACUGCUGAUCUCGCAGGUGUUCAUGUUGUUCCUGCUGACCUCCGGCAGCUUUUUUCUUGCCUAAUGAAUGGCACAGAGUUUAAGCUCUGGGACGCAGCAUUCAAACAAGCCCUGCGAGAGGCAAUGCCUCAGUUGCCCUUCCCAGCUAUCGAUGAACAGGGCAAUCCCCUUUUCCUUGAGUUGCUUGCUGGUGAAGGUACCUAUGUUUCUCCUGAGUCCCAGGCAGCCCUAAUACCCUCGGCAGUCCUCUCCAUUAUAAAAGAUAUAGCCUGCAAGGCUUUCUUUUGUUUGCAGCCAGACGCACCAUCACCGCCCUAUACCACCAUUAGGCAGGGACCUUCUGAAUCCUUCGUUGCUUUCGUAGAGCGGCUCACCAGAGCAGUGGAGAUUCAGGUUAAGACAGAGAGUUCACGGGAAGGUAUUAUAGGGGAGCUUGUUUUUGUCAAUGCUAACGACCUGUGUAAACAGGCAAUCUUAAGUCUUCCCCUAGAUCCGCCCCGCACUCUCCAGUCCAUGCUCCAGGUGUGCCAGAUGAAGGUGCCCUUCCUUGCCCGGCGGAACCCACCACCACCCUCCCAGGCAACUUUUCCGCCCAAGACAGUGCGUGCUGCAGACACAUCCCAACAGCCCCGACAUCGUCUGCCUCAGCGGCGACCCUCCUUCAGCAAGGACACUGGACUGCCAACUGCCCUAGGAGACCUUCAAAACAGCGUUCUCCAGCUACACCUCCGGGAACGCCGGUGCCUUCCCAGGCACAGCAAAAAUCACUGAAGGGGGAGCGCGGGUCCACCCAGCGUGACAACCCCAAUCGGGUGGACCGGGCAGGGAACUCCAAAGGGGGUCAAUUGGAUGGACAUUUUAUACCGGACUUGACAUCACGUGAACUCGACAUGGAAAAACCAAUUCUCACCACCUCUUCCUUUUUUGAACCCUACAGGUUGCAUCUCACCAGACCAUUGCACCUGACGGAUAGGGAAUUUCAUUUCGUCACCAUAGACCCAAGGAAGUUGCAUCGGUGGCCAAUGACCGGCGAAGUUUUGUUUUUCAGACCCAGACCCAGGAUGCUAAGCCUCCCGACCGUGCUCUUCCUGACCAAGCUGCUAACAAUCAGUCAAGCUUGGAUCGUCCCACAGCCGCGAGCCAACGUGUGGGCUCUGCUCGCGAAAUCUAUGGGACAAGAUCACAUCUGUCUCAAUAAAGCAUCGGCCUCAGACCCGAUGUCCACAUGCCUCGUGGGGAUCCCUUUUAAACAGCUAGAAAUGCCCGAAAAACUGCUCGUUUAUGCCCGCCGUAUCAGUAAGAUCCCCCGGGUCAAUCCUUUUAUUAGCUGGAGGAAUUUUAUGUUUUCCCUGGAAAAUAUGAGAGAGGAACCCCGAGAGCUGGAGCUCCUCGGAGCGGCUAAAGCUCCAGCCUGCAUUCACAUUACCAACUCGGCCAACGCUUUAGACCACCGCACCAAGCAUGUUGUCCAAUCUAAUGUGCUGGACAGAGCCCACUUGUGGUGCGAGAGGAUGGCCAAAGGAGUUCUUCCCCCUCCAAUUUAAAACCACCCCAAAAGGUUACCUAAGGGAGUUUUUCUGAUCUGCGGAGAUCAGGCUUGGGCAGGUAUCCCCUCUUGUCUUUCCGGAGGUCCGUGCACCCUAGGAAAGGUGGGGCUAUUCACACCCAACAAAACGCAAAUUAUGGGUUGGAAAGAAAAGCAAAAGAAACAAAGUGGUGCACAUGGAUUGGCAGUCUCCAAAAGAGACCUUAAAAAAUUGGACCCGGAUUGCGACUCGGAAAUUAUUCAUUGGAGCAAAACUAAAGGGGUUGCAACACGAUUUUUGCCCCAUGGGUCUCCAUUGCUAAGGCCAUAGGGGAAUUGGGACAUUUAGAAUGUUGGGUGGCGAAACAAGCAAAUUUAACUUCCAGAACGCUAUUCAACCUCCUGCAGGACGAGGACAUAAUGAGGCAAGCCACCCUCCAAAAUCGGGCAGCCAUAGACUAUCUCUUACUUCUCCACGGUCACACAUGUGAGGAUUUUGAGGGUCUGUGUUGUUUUAAUCUGUCGACUCGGGCUAGGAGCACACGAAAACUAAUUGAGCAGAUGCAAAAUAAGAUCGGUGACAUAAAAAGAGAGACAGAUGAUUGGAUGGGCAACAUUUUUAAGAGUUGGGGCCUUUCAGGAUGGGUCGGGUCCAUUUUGAGAACAUGCCUGCUGAUUUUGUUUAUUAUUUUAAUUGUUUGUAUUGCUUUUGGACUGAUCAGGAGAUUGCUGUUUAAGUUAGUUUUAAGUUCCACAUCUGUCCCCUCUCCGGCUGCUGCUCGGGUCACCAUGGCCACGGCUCCUGAAGAAGAGUUGGAGGAGUUUGAAGAGGAGCUUGAGGAAGAAGGCGACGGCGAAAACCUCCCAUAUGAUCAGUGGCCAACUCAACAGACUUAGUUCGCCGAAUGCUACCCAGACUCCGAGCAUCUGCUGGACCCCCCUCAGUUUCGUUCAUUUUAGUAAAAAGAAAAGGGGGAGAUGUGGCAGUGUGUUAAUUUAAUCAGUUAUACUUCAUAUGUUUUCUGUACUGGUUUGGUUCUAUGUACCCUACUCCCCCUAAUUAAUAUUCCUUUGUCUCCCUCACAUGAGUUAUUUUAGCCUGCACCUGCACCUGUUAUGUGACUUUCAGUUAAGUGUCUGUCACCCUUCCCGCCUUUGUAAAUCCCCUCCUACCCUCUUCGGAUUAGUCCACGUUAUGUUUCCCUACCCCUGGGUCCCUCAGCAACUGGCCCUGGUUGGCUAGUGGUAGCCAACCACUCCCUUUGCUCCCCCCAGCUAGCCCCUGAAAAAACCCCACUGUACCCUCCUCUCCUCGGACACUUCUGGUCUAAAGAGGUGUUUCCAAUAAACCCU
This is an RNA transcript of Prinia subflava (tawny-flanked prinia), 3153 nucleotides long. RefSeq lists it as uncharacterized. The record is from RefSeq and is a predicted model, not a curated record. NCBI's taxonomy places the organism in Eukaryota, Metazoa, Chordata, Aves, Passeriformes, Cisticolidae. The transcript is spliced from 2 exons.